This 406-nucleotide ribosomal RNA is filed under the name uncultured bacterium. Its description in RNAcentral is "partial 16S ribosomal RNA". It matches the Rfam family "Bacterial small subunit ribosomal RNA", at positions 29 to 526 of the family's 1533-position model. The record is from RNAcentral.
AUUGAACGCUGGCGGCAGGCCUAACACAUGCAAGUCGAACGAGUGGCGGACGGGUGAGUAAUGUCUGGGAAACUGCCUGAUGGAGGGGGAUAACUACUGGAAACGGUAGCUAAUACCGCAUACCAUCAAAUGUGCCAAGAUGGGCUUAGCUUGUUGGUGGGGUAACGGCUCAACAAGGAGACGAUCCCUAGCUGGGCUGCGAGGAUGACCAGCCACACUGGAACGUAGACACGGUCCAGAAUCCUACGGGAGGCAGCAGGGGGGAAUAUUGCACAAGGGGCGCAAGCCUGAUGCAGCCAGGCCGCGUGUAUGAAGAAGGCCGUCGGGGUGUAAAGUACUUUCAGCGGGGAGGCGUUACCCGCAGAAGAAGCACCGGCUAACUCCGUGCCAGCCGCCGCGGUAAUAC